CAAAGAGGGGGACCUUCGGGCCUCUCGCGUCAGGAUAUGCCUAGGUGGGAUUAGCUAGUUGGUGAGGUAAGGGCUCACCAAGGCGACGAUCCCUAGCUGGUCUGAGAGGAUGAUCAGCCACACUGGAACUGAGACACGGUCCAGACUCCUACGGGAGGCAGCAGUGGGGAAUAUUGCACAAUGGGCGCAAGCCUGAUGCAGCCAUGCCGCGUGUGUGAAGAAGGCCUUCGGGUUGUAAAGCACUUUCAGUCGUGAGGAAGGUGGUAGUGUUAAUAGCACUAUCAUUUGACGUUAGCGACAGAAGAAGCACCGGCUAACUCCGUGCCAGCAGCCGCGGUAAUACGGAGGGUGCGAGCGUUAAUCGGAAUACUGGGCGUAAAGCGCAUGCAGGUGGUUUGUUAAGUCAGAUGUGAAAGCCCGGGGCUCAACCUCGGAAUUGCAUUUGAAACUGGCAGACUAGAGUACUGUAGAGGGGGGUAGAAUUUCAGGUGUAG
RNAcentral lists this ribosomal RNA (494 nucleotides) under Vibrio parahaemolyticus. RNAcentral's name for it is "bacterial SSU rRNA". It matches the Rfam family "Bacterial small subunit ribosomal RNA", at positions 202 to 678 of the family's 1533-position model. The record is from RNAcentral. Lineage: Bacteria; Pseudomonadati; Pseudomonadota; Gammaproteobacteria; Vibrionales; Vibrionaceae.